GUGCCAGCAGCCGCGGUAAUACGUAUGGGGCAAGCGUUAUCCGGAUUCAUUGGGCGUAAAGAGCGCGUAGGCGGAUUGUUAAGUCAGAUGUGAAAACUGGGGGCUCAACCCGCAGCCUGCAUCUGAAACUGGCAGUCUUGAGUCUGGUAGAGGAGUGUGGAAUUCCCAGUGUAGCGGUGAAAUGCGCAGAUAUUGGGAGGAACACCAGUGGCGAAGGCGGCACUCUGGGCCACGACUGACGCUGAGGCGCGAAAGCUAGGGGAGCAAACAGGAUUAGAUACCCUGGUAGUCCUAGCCGUAAACGAUGGGCACUAGGUGUGGGGGGUCAUCAACUCCCUCCGUGCCGCAGCUAACGCAUUAAGUGCCCCGCCUGGGGAGUACGGCCGCAAGGCUAAA
This 396-nucleotide ribosomal RNA is filed under the name uncultured bacterium. Its description in RNAcentral is "bacterial SSU rRNA". It matches the Rfam family "Bacterial small subunit ribosomal RNA", at positions 505 to 898 of the family's 1533-position model. The record is from RNAcentral.